UACAGAGGUCUCAAGCGUUGUUCGGAUUCAUUGGGCGUAAAGGGUGCGUAGGUGGCGGGGCAAGUCUGGUGUGAAUCCCGGGGCUCAACCCCGGAACUGCACUGGAUACUGCCUUGCUUGAGCACUGGAGAGGGAACUGGAAUUUACGGUGUAGCAGUGAAAUGCGUAGAUAUCGUAAGGAAGACCAGUGGCGAAGGCGAGUUCCUGGACAGUUGCUGACACUGAGGCACGAAGGCUAGGGGAGCAAACGGG
RNAcentral lists this ribosomal RNA (252 nucleotides) under uncultured bacterium. RNAcentral describes it as "partial 16S ribosomal RNA". It matches the Rfam family "Bacterial small subunit ribosomal RNA", at positions 524 to 776 of the family's 1533-position model. The record is from RNAcentral.